GAUGAACGCUGGCGGCGUGCCUAAUACAUGCAAGUCGAGCGAACAGACGAGGAGCUUGCUCCUCUGACGUUAGCGGCGGACGGGUGAGUAACACGUGGAUAACCUACCUAUAAGACUGGGAUAACUUCGGGAAACCGGAGCUAAUACCGGAUAAUAUAUUGAACCGCAUGGUUCAAUAGUGAAAGACGGUUUUGCUGUCACUUAUAGAUGGAUCCGCGCCGCAUUAGCUAGUUGGUAAGGUAACGGCUUACCAAGGCGACGAUGCGUAGCCGACCUGAGAGGGUGAUCGCCCCAACGGGAACGGGAACACGGUCCAGACCCCCAGGGGGGGCAGCAGUAGGGAAUCUUCCGCAAGGGGCAAAAGCCUGACGGGGCAACGCCGCGGGAGUGAUAAAGGUCUUCGGAUCGUAAAACUCUGUUAUUAGGAAAAAACAAAUGUGUAAGUAACUAUGCCCGUCUUGACGGUACCUAAUCAAAAAGCCCCGGCUAACUACGU
RNAcentral lists this ribosomal RNA (496 nucleotides) under uncultured bacterium. RNAcentral describes it as "partial 16S ribosomal RNA". It matches the Rfam family "Bacterial small subunit ribosomal RNA", at positions 28 to 506 of the family's 1533-position model. The record is from RNAcentral.